RNAcentral lists this ribosomal RNA (19 nucleotides) under Hanseniaspora uvarum. RNAcentral describes it as "partial 28S ribosomal RNA". Lineage: Eukaryota; Fungi; Ascomycota; Saccharomycetes; Saccharomycodales; Saccharomycodaceae. The record is from RNAcentral.
UUUGACCUCAAAUCAGGAU